This 600-nucleotide ribosomal RNA is filed under the name uncultured bacterium. RNAcentral describes it as "bacterial SSU rRNA". It matches the Rfam family "Bacterial small subunit ribosomal RNA", at positions 24 to 603 of the family's 1533-position model. The record is from RNAcentral.
UCAGAACGAACGCUGGCGGCGUGCUUAACACAUGCAAGUCGAACGCGAAAGGGACUUCGGUCCUGAGUAGAGUGGCGCACGGGUGAGUAACGCGUAGAUAAUCUGUCCUUGUGUCUGGAAUAAUACGUCGAAAGGUGUACUAAUACCGGAUAUUCUUGCUUUUCAUACGAUAGGUAAGCAAAGGUGGCCUCUGUCAUAAGCUACUGCAUAAGGAGGAGUCUGCGUACCAUUAGCUAGUAGGUGGGGUAAUGGCCCACCUAGGCUUCGAUGGUUAACGGGUCUGAGAGGAUGAUCCGUCACAUUGGCACUGGAACACGGGCCAGACUCCUACGGGAGGCAGCAGUGAGGAAUAUUGCGCAAUGGGGGCAACCCUGACGCAGCGACGCCGCGUGAGUGAGGAAGGCCUUCGGGUCGUAAAGCUCUGUCAAAGGGAAAGAAGUGCAUGGUGGUUAAUACCCAUCAUGUUUGACGGUACCCUUAAAGGAAGCACCGGCUAACUCCGUGCCAGCAGCCGCGGUAAUACGGAGGGUGCAAGCGUUGUUCGGAAUCACUGGGCGUAAAGGGCGCGCAGGCGGUUUGAUAAGUCAGAUGUGAAAGCCC